AAUACGCUGACGUGGGUGGAGUUCCCUUGGUGAACAUGAGUCACCACUGCAGAAGAAGAAAUCACAUCAAGACAUAACAACAACAGAGAAAAUGUAUCCACAGGGUUACGACUGUUUCCUUCUUAGUUGUUGCCAUCAAACUGUAGAUUCUUUACUGAAGUUGGACUGAGGUGAACGAGGUUGACGGUUGGAGAUUUCACUAAAUUCUGUGGAUGUCCCUGACAAAUUCAAACGUCUUUCUGCUGAACGAGUCUUUAUUUAAAAUAAAUAUAAUGAUGAGCAUGCAACCCGCUGCGCCUUGGUCCUCUCUUCAUGAAGACAGACGUUGCAGAACUACCCACCAAAACUGGACCAAGCAGCGGAGGAAGGAGCAACAACAGGUGGAAUAUCGUGAGUCAUGGACUGGGGAGGACCGGAAUCGCUACUGGGGAACACGGCUGGCGAGGAAGCCGGAGAGGCAACCCCAAUAAUUUUUUUUGGGGGGCACACGGGUAGUUUGGCUGGGCGAGGAUUAAGUCCCAAGCCAAAUCCCCGUGUUUUUUCUAAACGACCAUUGACUGGACAGGUCCCGUGCUUUGGGGUGAUGGG
Molecule: long non-coding RNA, 588 nt
Filed under: Salmo salar (Atlantic salmon)
Lineage: Eukaryota; Metazoa; Chordata; Actinopteri; Salmoniformes; Salmonidae
Description: lncRNA (ENSSSAG00000112875.1)
Source: RNAcentral